RNAcentral lists this ribosomal RNA (439 nucleotides) under uncultured bacterium. Its description in RNAcentral is "partial 16S ribosomal RNA". It matches the Rfam family "Bacterial small subunit ribosomal RNA", at positions 355 to 806 of the family's 1533-position model. The record is from RNAcentral.
UGGGGAAUAUUGCGCAAUGGGCGGAAGCCUGACGCAGCAACGCCGCGUUCGGGGAUGACGGCCUUCGGGUUGUAAACCGCUUUCAGCAGGGACGAAGCGUGAGUGACGGUACCUGCAGAAGAAGCACCGGCCAACUACGUGCCAGCAGCCGCGGUGAUACGUAGGGUGCGAGCGUUGUCCGGAAUUAUUGGGCGUAAAGAGCUCGUAGGUGGUUGAUCGCGUCGAAAGUGAAAUCUCAGGGCUUAACCCUGAGCGUGCUUUCGAUACGGGUCGACUAGAGGAAGGUAGGGAGAAUGGAAUUCCUGGUGGAGCGGUGGAAUGCGCAGAUAUCAGGAGGAACACCAGUGGCGAAGGCGGUUCUCUGGACCUUUCCUGACGCUGAGGAGCGAAAGCGUGGGGAGCAAACAGGCUUAGAUACCCUGGUAGUCCACGCCGUAAA